AUUGAACGCUGGCGGCAGGCCUAACACAUGCAAGUCGAGCGGUAGAGAGGAGCUUGCUCCUCUUGAGAGCGGCGGACGGGUGAGUAAUGCCUAGGAAUCUGCCUGGUAGUGGGGGAUAACGUUCGGAAACGGACGCUAAUACCGCAUACGUCCUACGGGAGAAAGCAGGGGACCUUCGGGCCUUGCGCUAUCAGAUGAGCCUAGGUCGGAUUAGCUAGUUGGUGAGGUAAUGGCUCACCAAGGCGACGAUCCGUAACUGGUCUGAGAGGAUGAUCAGUCACACUGGAACUGAGACACGGUCCAGACUCCUACGGGAGGCAGCAGUGGGGAAUAUUGGACAAUGGGCGAAAGCCUGAUCCAGCCAUGCCGCGUGUGUGAAGAAGGUCUUCGGAUUGUAAAGCACUUUAAGAUGGGAGGAAGGGCAGUAAAUUAAUACUUUGCUGUUUUGACGUUACCGACAGAAUAAGC
Molecule: ribosomal RNA, 468 nt
Filed under: Pseudomonas sp. oral taxon D11
Lineage: Bacteria; Pseudomonadati; Pseudomonadota; Gammaproteobacteria; Pseudomonadales; Pseudomonadaceae
Description: bacterial SSU rRNA
Rfam family: Bacterial small subunit ribosomal RNA
Source: RNAcentral